GUUGAUAACCACAAUCUUUCCGAGAAUAUCUGAAAGGGAUAUUCACUGUUAGUCUGUGUAUUCGGCAACUGUAAUGCGCUUAGUGCUGAGCUAGGUGCUAUGCUGGGUACAGAGCUAUAGACCAUGGUUCCUAUGUUCAAAGAUCUAACAAUUGAAUGGGAUUAGGACUGAGGAGCAUUCUGAGAACCAUUUUAAAUAUAAUAGAGGAUUAUCCCUCACCAAUGACUAUUUAUGAAUAGUCCUCGCAUCAAGUUUAAGUUAAAACUAUCUUCUCAAGGAAAACCUCAAUGGUUCAGAAAUAGCUUCGGCUACAGAAAUCUGUAUUGUUUAUUCACUUGUUCGCUCGUAAACACUUCGUAUGAACUCACCUUUGCUUUAGACAUGCCACUAAGUGGUAGAGUUACAGUUCCCUACCCUCAAAUUUCUCAGCUGCUGUUCUCUCUGCCUGGAAUAUUCUUCACCUAACUCCCACCUCCCAUUGCCACCAUCACCUUGUAUUUAACUCCUGUUCAUUUUUAUAGAUAUUAGCCUUCCUCGACUCUCUUGACUGGGUUAAAACACUGCUGUAUAUUCCCAUAGCUUUUAUCCCCUUGGGAAAGUUAUCUUACUUGUAAUUUUUUACCCAAUGUGUGUCUUCCUUAGUAGAAUGGAAGUCCCAUGGGGAUAGGGCCAUGCUUUUUCUGUUCACUACAAUGCUUGAAAUAGUGUCUCAAAAUAGCAAGGACUAAAUAUUCAUUAAUUUGGCAGGUAUUUAUGGAACAUCUAUGUGUCCAGCAUUGUUCUUAUCACUGAGGAUACGAAAGAGGGGGGAAAACCCAUAUAUGGUUCCUUCCUUGAAGGAGAUUAUAAGUUAGUCAAAGUGUUGAUUUAAUGAUGGAAGAAUGUUUAACUCAAACUCCUUAUUUCCCAGGUGAAGAAAUGAUUGCCAGAGAGACUAAGUGACUUAAGUCAUAUGAAGAAUUUGAGUGCCCUGGAAUUCCCUUUACUUUUAAAACAUACUAUGUACAGGGCAGCAAUGGUCACUGGAAUAGUGCUAUUUACAUGACUAAACCACAAGUCGAGGUGCAGACAUGUGAAAAUUAAAAAAAAAAAUACACCAACAUUAAAAUAAAUACUGCAUAAUGACAGGUCUCGAAUGUCAAGACACAGUCUCAGUGUAUUUCGUAUUGCACCACAUAAAGAGAAGGCAUUUUUAGUGAUACUCAUUUUUAACUUUUGCACCGUAUCAAGCAUGAUAGUUUUGAAUGGUCAACACUGAACUUAAAAAGGAACACAAGAGAGCAAUUUUUGUGCGUGGCCUUAAACAAAUGAGUCCAACUCAUCUUGGCAUUAGUGGGUACCAUGCCUGCUGGAGCUCUGAAGUCUGCCACUGUUCACGCUGUCACACGACUGGCUGCUCCCGUCCAGAGGAGUGCUGACGUUUUCGUCCUGGACCAAGUCUUUGGUCUCUUGCUUUUCACCUGAUGCUUCCUAGGACUUCAUGCCUUGACUUGUAACAUGGCUUAAUGGCUGGAUAGCUCCAUUUCUGUGGCAUCACAGGACUUUGGGGUCAGAGAAAUGAAGAAAAAGGAAUGAUAAAAAUAUAAAGGUGCCAUUGAAAAGGGCUUUUGUUGCAUGAAACUGACUCUUUGAGAUUAAUCCAUGGCUUCAGAUUGGACCAAAACGAUAUUGAAUAUAUCGAUAGUUCCCUAGUGUGUAUAGCUUUAUAGCACUGGCCACUACUUUGAAGUUUCCCAAGAAUUUCAGCUGUGAGGAGUGGAAAAGGAUGUGAUAAGAAAAGAUGUUGGAUACAAAGUCUGACUCCAUGAAGACACUUUCUUAGUGUCUUGGAACCUGGUUUUACAACAAGGCCACGGGCCCGAAUGAUUUCCACCUCCAGCUGUCCCUUUUUGUCCAUCAUGCCUACCUGAAUGUCACCUAAUGGCGUGUGAGGAAG
Aethalodelphis obliquidens (Pacific white-sided dolphin) is the source of this 1936-nucleotide long non-coding RNA. RefSeq lists it as uncharacterized. The transcript is spliced from 6 exons. The record is from RefSeq and is a predicted model, not a curated record. Lineage: Eukaryota; Metazoa; Chordata; Mammalia; Artiodactyla; Delphinidae.